This 379-nucleotide long non-coding RNA is filed under the name Prunus persica (peach). Its description in RNAcentral is "long non-coding RNA (PPER_LNC007531)". The record is from RNAcentral. Lineage: Eukaryota; Viridiplantae; Streptophyta; Magnoliopsida; Rosales; Rosaceae.
UUAACCCAAAAUCAGUGACUUUCAAGUUGCCAUCCUCGUCCAGGAGGAGGUUCUCCGGCUUCAGAUCCCGGUGGUAGACGCCGCGGCUGUGGCAGAAAUCGAUGGCUGAGAUCAGCUGCUGGAAAUAGACUCUGGCCACGUCUUCUUUAAGCCGGCCUUUGGCGAUUUUGGCAAAGAGCUCGCCGCCGCGGACCAGAUCCAUGGCGAAAUAGAUCUUGGACUUGCUGGCCAUGACCUCAUGGAGCUCGACGAUGUUGGGGUGCUUGACCAUCCUCAUCACGGAGAUCUCUCUCUUGAUCUGCUCCAUCAUCCCAACUUUGAUUACCUUCUCUUUGCCCACCACUUUCAUGGCCACACUUUUCCCGCUCUUCAAAUUCCU